RNAcentral lists this ribosomal RNA (1484 nucleotides) under metagenome. Its description in RNAcentral is "bacterial SSU rRNA". It matches the Rfam family "Bacterial small subunit ribosomal RNA". The record is from RNAcentral.
AGAGUUUGAUCCUGGCUCAGGAUGAACGCUGGCGGCGUGCUUAACACAUGCAAGUCGAGCGAAGCACUCUGCUUUGAUUCUUUCGGGAUGAAGAGCAUUGUGACUGAGCGGCGGACGGGUGAGUAACGCGUGGGUAACCUGCCUCAUACAGGGGGAUAACAGUUAGAAAUGGCUGCUAAUACCGCAUAAGACCACAGCACCGCAUGGUGCAGGGGUAAAAACUCCGGUGGUAUGAGAUGGACCCGCGUCUGAUUAGCUAGUUGGUGGGGUAACGGCCUACCAAGGCGACGAUCAGUAGCCGACCUGAGAGGGUGACCGGCCACAUUGGGACUGAGACACGGCCCAAACUCCUACGGGAGGCAGCAGUGGGGAAUAUUGCACAAUGGGGGAAACCCUGAUGCAGCGACGCCGCGUGAGCGAAGAAGUUUUUCGGUAUGUAAAGCUCUAUCAGCAGGGAAGAAAAUGACGGUACCUGACUAAGAAGCCCCGGCUAACUACGUGCCAGCAGCCGCGGUAAUACGUAGGGGGCAAGCGUUAUCCGGAUUUACUGGGUGUAAAGGGAGCGCAGGCGGGAAGGCAAGUUGGAAGUGAAAUCCAUUGGCUCAACCCAUGAACUGCUUUCAAAACUGUUUUUCUUGAGUAGUGCAGAGGUAGGCGGAAUUCCCGGUGUAGCGGUGGAAUGCGUAGGUAUCGGGAGGAACACCAGUGGCGAAGGCGGCCUACUGGGCACCAACUGACGCUGAGGCUCGAAAGUGUGGGUAGCAAACAGGAUUAGAUACCCUGGUAGUCCACACUGUAAACGAUGAUUACUAGGUGUUGGAGGAUUGACUCCUUCAGUGCCGCAGUUAACACAAUAAGUAAUCCACCUGGGGAGUACGACCGCAAGGUUGAAACUCAAAGGAAUUGACGGGGGCCCGCACAAGCAGUGGAGUAUGUGGUUUAAUUCGACGCAACGCGAAGAACCUUACCAAGUCUUGACAUCCUGCGACGCACAUAGAAAUAUGUGUUUCCUUCGGGACGCAGAGACAGGUGGUGCAUGGUUGUCGUCAGCUCGUGUCGUGAGAUGUUGGGUUAAGUCCCGCAACGAGCGCAACCCUUAUGGUCAGUUACUACGCAAGAGGACUCUGGCCAGACUGCCGUUGACAAAACGGAGGAAGGUGGGGAUGACGUCAAAUCAUCAUGCCCUUUAUGACUUGGGCUACACACGUACUACAAUGGCGUUAAACAAAGAGAAGCAAGACCGCGAGGUGGAGCAAAACUCAGAAACAACGUCCCAGUUCGGACUGCAGGCUGCAACUCGCCUGCACGAAGUCGGAAUUGCUAGUAAUCGCAGAUCAGCAUGCUGCGGUGAAUACGUUCCCGGGCCUUGUACACACCGCCCGUCACACCAUGAGAGCCGGGGGGACCCGAAGUCGGUAGUCUAACCGCAAGGAGGACGCCGCCGAAGGUAAAACUGGUGAUUGGGGUGAAGUCGUAACAAGGUA